This 253-nucleotide ribosomal RNA is filed under the name uncultured bacterium. Its description in RNAcentral is "partial 16S ribosomal RNA". It matches the Rfam family "Bacterial small subunit ribosomal RNA", at positions 524 to 776 of the family's 1533-position model. The record is from RNAcentral.
UACAGAGGUCUCAAGCGUUGCUCGGAAUCACUGGGCGUAAAGGGUGCGUAGGCGGGUCUUUAAGUCAGGGGUGAAAUCCUGGAGCUCAACUCCAGAACUGCCUUUGAUACUGAGGAUCUUGAGUUCGGGAGAGGUGAGUGGAACUGCGAGUGUAGAGGUGAAAUUCGUAGAUAUUCGCAAGAACACCAGUGGCGAAGGCGGCUCACUGGCCCGGUACUGACGCUGAGGUGCGAAAGCGUGGGGAGCAAACAGG